GACGAACGCUGGCGGCGUGCUUAACACAUGCAAGUCGAACGGAAAGGCCCUGCUUUUGUUGGUUGCUCGAGUGGCGAACGUGUGAGUAACACGUGAGUAACCUGCCCUUUACUUUGGGAUAACUUCAGGAAACUGGGGCUAAUACCUGAUAGGAGCUCCUGCUGCAUGGUGGGGGUUGGAAAGUUUCGGCGGUUGGGGAUGGACUCGCGGCUUAUCAGCUUGUUGGUGGGGUAGUGGCUUACCAAGGCUUUGACGGGUAGCCGGCCUGAGAGGGUGACCGGCCACAUUGGGACUGAGAUACGGCCCAGACUCCUACGGGAGGCAGAAGUGGGGAAUAUUGCACAAUGGGCGGAAGCCUGAUGCAGCAACGCCGCGUGCGGGAUGACGGCCUUCGGGUUGUAAACCGCUUUCGCCUGUGACGAAGCGUGAGUGACGGUAAUGGGUAAAGAAGCACCGGCUAACUACGUG
RNAcentral lists this ribosomal RNA (468 nucleotides) under uncultured bacterium. RNAcentral's name for it is "partial 16S ribosomal RNA". It matches the Rfam family "Bacterial small subunit ribosomal RNA", at positions 28 to 507 of the family's 1533-position model. The record is from RNAcentral.